CUUUCCGGGCGCGCUUACCAUGCAGUCGCACGAGAACUCCCGGGGCUUGCCCCGGGACAGUAAAGUGGCGCACGGGUGAGUAACGCGUGGGUAAUCUGCCCCGGAAUCGGGGAUAACAUUGCGAAAGCGAUGCUAAUACCGGAUGACGACGCCGCGACCGGGGUUGCGGCGUCCAAAGGCGGCCUCUGCAAGCAAGCAACCGUUUCGGGACGAGCCUGCGUACCAUUAGCUUGUUGGCGGGGUAACGGCCCACCAAGGCGGCGAUGGUUAGCUGGUCUGAGAGGGUGGCCAGCCACACCGGAACUGGAACACGGUCCGGACUCCUACGGGAGGCAGCAGUGAGGAAUUUUGCGCAAUGGGGGAAACCCUGACGCAGCAACGCCGCGUGAGUGACGAAGGCCUUCGGGUCGUAAAGCUCUGUCGGGUGGGAAGAACCCGCGGAUGGCGAACACCCAUCCGCGCUGACGGUACCACCGGAGGAAGCACCGGCUAACUCCGUGCCAGCAGCCGCGGUAAUACGGAGGGUGCGAGCGUUAUUCGGAAUUAUUGGGCGUAAAGAGCGCGUAGGCGGUUGUCUAAGUCGGAUGUGAAAGCCCGGGGCCCAACCCCGGAAGGGCAUCCGAUACUGGACGGCUUGAGUAUGGGAGAGGGAAGCGGAAUUCCUGGUGUAGAGGUGAAAUUCGUAGAUAUCAGGAGGAACACCGGUGGCGAAGGCGGCUUCCUGGACCAAUACUGGCGCUGAGGCGCGAAGGCGUGGGGAGCAAACAGGAUUAGAUACCCUGGUAGUCCACGCGGUAAACGGUGAUCACUAGGUGUGGCGGGUAUUGACCCCUGCCGUGCCGGAGUCAACGCAUUAAGUGAUCCGCCUGGGGAGUACGGCCGCAAGGUUAAAACUCAAAGGAAUUGACGG
This 910-nucleotide ribosomal RNA is filed under the name uncultured delta proteobacterium. Its description in RNAcentral is "bacterial SSU rRNA". It matches the Rfam family "Bacterial small subunit ribosomal RNA", at positions 36 to 916 of the family's 1533-position model. Lineage: Bacteria; Deltaproteobacteria. The record is from RNAcentral.